Long non-coding RNA from Camelus dromedarius (Arabian camel), 765 nucleotides. RefSeq lists it as uncharacterized. The transcript has 2 exons. The record is from RefSeq and is a predicted model, not a curated record. Lineage: Eukaryota; Metazoa; Chordata; Mammalia; Artiodactyla; Camelidae.
CCACCACGUACCAACAGCACCCGCUCGAGGCCCUCUGUCAGUACCUCCAGGAACUCCAUGUCUGUAGGGCAUCUGGUCAAGGAGGCAGCACGAGGACCAAGGGGCACCCAGGGAAAUUUAGCUCAUCAGUAAGAGUGAGGCCUGACCCUGCCAUCCGCCCCUGCCCCCUGAACCAAGAAGGCCACUGACUUCUCGCUCCCGUUCAGUCUUGGUCAGCCUCAUCUGCCGGAGCAUCUGGGAUCGCUGUUCCAUCAUCAGUGUCCGCUCGUAGGUAUAUGCGGAGAUGUCACUGUUAUGCUGGGGAAAGGGUGAGCUGUGAGGACUGGGCUACGUGGGGCAGGAUAUCCACGGGGCCACAUCAGGGCAGGUGGCUCACCAUCUCCACCACCUCCACCUCUGCUUCAAGGCGCAGGUGGUAUAGGAAGACGGCCAGAUCUUUCUUCAUCUGGAUGCUGUUGUCGUCCAUCUGGGCCACCGUGAAGAUACGCAUCCGGCACUUCCUCCAAACCUGUGGCGACAGCAGCUGGUGGUUCAUUCAUACCCCACCCCUCCAAGGGCCCAGUCCCCGUCACGGGGUCCAUCCACCUGGCCCACCUUGUGCUGGCGCAGCAGGAAGGGCAAGAGCAUGAGCAUGCCACCGUCAUGGACGAUCCACCACACGUCGAUGUGGCCCUCCAGGUAGCGUUCGUGGUUGCUGGGGUAGAAGGCGAUGUUCUUGGGCACAAGCAGGGCCAGGUGGGCAGCCGUGGUGCAGCGCACGGUAUC